CACCAGUUUACAUGCGACAGAAGACGGAGGUGAAAGUGACACCUGACAUCCGUGACGCAGGUCUGGGCGCGUGCGUGGAGCAGGGCGUCUGGUCCUUGCCCCGCCGGUCAGUCAGGGCGGGUCAGGAUCUAACGCAGUUCUACAUCGUUGGAUUUGUGGUGUUUGUUUGAGGAUUCCUAGUGUAAUAGAAGGGGAGGACGGUGACGAGAAGAGCAUUGGAGUAUUUCAAGGGCCUCUGUCGACGGUGGACGCGGUGGACGGCACGCCAGAGCACCUCCCCUGCCUGGCCGCCCACAGCAGGCCCGGCGACGCCCCCGUGCUGGUGGUGUGGUGCAGGGACGGCUCGCGUAGGCAUCUCAAGGGGGUCAUCAAGGGGACCCGUUUUGAAGACGUGGACGACAUCAAAAAGGCCGUGAUGACGGAGCUGCGGAGGAUCCCGGAAGAAUCCUUCCAGGAGUGCAUGCAGGCGUGGCAGAGAAGGAUAGGAAAGUGCGUUAGACUCCAGGGGGAUUACUUCCAAGGGGAAAACUUGUAGUUUGGAUUCAAAAUAAAUCUUUUGUGACACCAGUCCUGGAACU
This is a long non-coding RNA of Eriocheir sinensis (Chinese mitten crab), 578 nucleotides long. RefSeq lists it as uncharacterized. NCBI's taxonomy places the organism in Eukaryota, Metazoa, Arthropoda, Malacostraca, Decapoda, Varunidae. The record is from RefSeq and is a predicted model, not a curated record. The transcript is spliced from 3 exons.